CAAAAAGCUCGGAUAGCAUGUGAAAUACUUGCCAUAGCCAUGCCUGGGAGGAGGCAAGGGUAGCUACCAGGCAUGGACCUACCUCCUAAAGAGACCAAAGUUCUCCGCUACCAGCCCGGGAGGAAUCUGGGGCUGCUAUCCAGAACCAAACCUCUCUCAGGAGGUAGACAAAAGCCAUAGAGUUAUCCAAAAAAUUUCCAGAUGCAUGCCUGGGAGGAGGCAAGGGUAGCUACCAGGCAUGGACCUAGCUCCUAAAGAGACCAAAGUUCUCCGCUACCAGCCCGGGAGGAAUCUGGGGCUGCUAUCCAGAACCAAACCUCUCUCAGGAGGUAGA
Molecule: long non-coding RNA, 334 nt
Organism: Cygnus olor (mute swan)
Lineage: Eukaryota; Metazoa; Chordata; Aves; Anseriformes; Anatidae
Exons: 2
Source: RefSeq, a predicted model, not a curated record